CAUCCAGAAACAACUAUUAAUAUUGUUUUCUUUUCUUUUUAAUCUUUUUCUUGUUUUUCUUCACAAUGCUAUACAACUCUGCAUGUACAUCCUUAAAAUUUGUCUUACAUCAUCUAGAUUUUUUCAAUAUAAAAUGUAAAACCAGAAACAUGAUUUUACUGGCCUUGCCUCAAUUUUUGAUGCUGCCUCCUUCUUCCUGGCAGCUGCCCACAGGGAGGGUUCACAGAGGACCCGAAGGAGAGCUAGGCAGGAGCUAUCUUAAUGCAACCCUGGAUCUGAGA
Bos taurus (domestic cattle) is the source of this 281-nucleotide small nucleolar RNA. Lineage: Eukaryota; Metazoa; Chordata; Mammalia; Artiodactyla; Bovidae. The record is from Ensembl.